This 26-nucleotide non-coding RNA is filed under the name Rattus norvegicus (Norway rat). The record is from RNAcentral. Lineage: Eukaryota; Metazoa; Chordata; Mammalia; Rodentia; Muridae.
UCUGGAAAUCCACUUGGGCACAACCC